UACCCGCAGCACAAGUGGUGGUCAUUAUUAUUGGGCCUAAAGCGUCCGUAGCUGGCCUGUUAGAUGCCUGGGUAAAUCGAAUCGCUCAACGGUUCGAAUUCCGGGUAGACCGGCAGGCUUGGGACCGGGAGAGGUGUAGGCUACUCGGGGGGUAGGGGUAAAAUCCUGUAAUCCUCCGGGGAGGACCAGUGGCGAAGGCGCUACACUAGAACGGCUCUGACAGUGAGGGACGAAGCCCUGGGGCGCAAACCGG
RNAcentral lists this ribosomal RNA (253 nucleotides) under uncultured bacterium. RNAcentral's name for it is "partial 16S ribosomal RNA". It matches the Rfam family "Archaeal small subunit ribosomal RNA", at positions 474 to 727 of the family's 1478-position model. The record is from RNAcentral.